This 253-nucleotide ribosomal RNA is filed under the name uncultured bacterium. RNAcentral's name for it is "partial 16S ribosomal RNA". It matches the Rfam family "Bacterial small subunit ribosomal RNA", at positions 524 to 776 of the family's 1533-position model. The record is from RNAcentral.
UACGUAGGGCGCAAGCGUUGUCCGGAAUUAUUGGGCGUAAAGAGCUCGUAGGCGGCUUGUUGCGUCUGCUGUGAAAUCCCGGGGCUUAACCCCGGGCGUGCAGUGGAUACGGGCAGGCUAGAGGCAGGCAGGGGAGAACGGAAUUCCUGGUGUAGCGGUGAAAUGCGCAGAUAUCAGGAGGAACACCGGUGGCGAAGGCGGUUCUCUGGGCCUGAUCUGACGCUGAGGAGCGAAAGCGUGGGGAGCGAACAGG